Molecule: ribosomal RNA, 497 nt
Filed under: uncultured bacterium
Lineage: Bacteria
Description: partial 16S ribosomal RNA
Rfam family: Bacterial small subunit ribosomal RNA
Source: RNAcentral
GAUGAACGCUGGCGGCGUGCUUAAUACAUGCAAGUCGAGCGAACGGACGAGAAGCGUGCUUCUCUGAUGUUAGCGGCGGACGGGUGAGUAACACGUGGAUAACCUACCUAUAAGACUGGGAUAACUGCGGGAAACCGGAGCUAAUACCGGAUACUAUUUUGAACCGCAUGGUGCAAAAGAGAAAGACGGUCUGGCGGUCACUUAUCGAUGGAUCCGCGCUGCAGUAGCUAGUUGGUAAGGUAACGGCUUACCAAGGCAACGAUGCCUUGCCGACCUGUGAGCGGGUUGCGCCACUCUGGGACUGAGCCGCCGUCCAGACUCUGAGGUGCGGCCGAGACAGGUACGCGUCCGAGCAGGGCGGAAUCCUGCCGGAGCAACGCCGCCCUGGUGCUGAAGGUCUGCGUAUCGUAUGACUCUGUUAUUAUUGAAGACCGUAUUUGUAAGUGACUGUGCACAGCUUGACGGUACCUAAUCAGAAAGCCACGGCUAACUACGUG